This 567-nucleotide unclassified non-coding RNA is filed under the name Hevea brasiliensis (rubber tree). Lineage: Eukaryota; Viridiplantae; Streptophyta; Magnoliopsida; Malpighiales; Euphorbiaceae. The record is from RNAcentral.
UACAUACUAGGUUAAGUCUCUACAUGCAUAAUAUAUUUAUAUUAAACUAGCUUUUGUAAUGCAAAAAUAGAAUAUAAUAGAGAAGAGCUUUUGACUAUUAUUCUUGAGCCUUUUGGAUCUCUACUUCAUUAGGCUUCUCUAGUUUUUUUGCCUUGUUCCACACCAUUUUCAAUGUUAACAUGUUUGCAGGCUUCAUUUGGUCCUCCACCAACACAACUCUCAUUGGAAGAUAAGGCAACUUCCCUUGUCCAACUUUUCAAUGUCUCCACAGCUGCUUCAUCUAUUCUUGGCACAGUGUGGCCUUGAGGAUGCCUUAUGAUGAUAGGAUUCUCAAAAUCUGUUGUAAGUUCUUGUGAAGGAAGUUUGAGCCAAUCUUUCUCUCCAAUAAAAUGAACUGAUUUAACCUUCAUCAUAUCUUUGUAUGCAAUGUUACAAAUAUUUGGGUCCCUAAAUUUGGCACCUGAUAUUGAUACAAAUAAUUUCAUUGGUGGAUGCUCUUUCAGAAUCUCCCCCUGCUCCAUGUACCCUAGUAAAAGGCCUGAUAAAGUUGCUCCCUGGGAGAAUCCG